RNAcentral lists this ribosomal RNA (478 nucleotides) under uncultured bacterium. RNAcentral describes it as "partial 16S ribosomal RNA". It matches the Rfam family "Bacterial small subunit ribosomal RNA", at positions 28 to 507 of the family's 1533-position model. The record is from RNAcentral.
GAUGAACGCUGGCGGCGUGCUUAACACAUGCAAGUCGAACGAGAAGUGAAGACGGAAACCUUCGGGCGGAAGGCUUUAUUUCGAGUGGCGGACGGGUGAGUAACGCGUGGGUAACCUGCCUCAUACAGGGGGAUAACAGUUGGAAACGACUGUUAAUACCGCAUAAGACGACAGCACCGCAUGGUGCGGGGGUAAAAACUCCGGUGGUAUGAGAUGGACCCGCGUUCGAUUAGCCAGUUGGCGGGGUAACGGCCCACCAAAGCGACGAUCGAUAGCCGAUCUGAGAGGAUGACCGGCCACAUUGGGACUGAGACACGGCCCAAACUCCUACGGGAGGCAGCAGUGGGGAAUAUUGCACAAUGGGGGAAACCCUGAUGCAGCGACGCCGCGUGAGUGAAGAAGUAUUUCGGUAUGUAAAGCUCUAUCAGCAGGGAAGAAAAUGACGGUACCUGAGUAAGAAGCCCCGGCUAACUACGUG